CGCGAUAAACCCCGUCAGCAAAACACGUAAAACGCCAUCCGAUAUAUUAAUAGGACACCAUUGUGUCAACCUUGUGGAUUGUAGUACUGAAAGAACGAAGGCGAACCUCCUCGGAGUUACUAAUGAUACGAGGUCCAGAUUCCUCCCACAUUUCUGGGACAUUGAGGUCUUUGUCAGUAUAAACAAGAAGAUCGAAARCACCUGAAAAGAAAGACAAUAUAAAUAAAUAAAAA
Long non-coding RNA from Actinia tenebrosa (Australian red waratah sea anemone), 233 nucleotides. Lineage: Eukaryota; Metazoa; Cnidaria; Anthozoa; Actiniaria; Actiniidae. The record is from RefSeq and is a predicted model, not a curated record.